AGAGUUUGACUUCAGAACGAACGCUGGCGGCGUGCCUAACACAUGCUCGAACGUGAUUGAGGGGCUUGCUCCUCAUGAAAGUGGCGCACGGGUGAGUAACGCGUGGAUAAUCUGCCUGAUGCUCUGGGAUAACAUCUCGAAAGGGGUGCUAAUACCGGAUAAGCCCACGGGGUCUUCGGAUCCUGCGGGAAAAGAGGGGGACCUUCGGGCCUCUUGACAUCAGAUGAGUCCGCGUCCCAUUAGCUAGUUGGUGGGGUAAAGGCCUACCAAGGCGACGAUGGGUAGCUGGUCUGAGAGGAUGAUCAGCCACACUGGAACUGAGACACGGUCCAGACUCCUACGGGAGGCAGCAGUGGGGAAUUUUGCGCAAUGGGGGAAACCCUGACGCAGCAACGCCGCGUGAGUGAUGAAGGCCUUCGGGUCGUAAAGCUCUGUCAGAGGGAAAGAAAUGUGGGCAGUUAAUAUCUGUUCCACUUGACGGUACCCUCAGAGGAAGCACCGGCUAACUCCGUGCCAGCAGCCGCGGUAAUACGGAGGGUGCGAGCGUUGUUCGGAAUUAUUGGGCGUAAAGCGCGUGUAGGCGGUUUGCUCAGUCUGAUGUGAAAGCCCUGGGCUCAACCUGGGAAGUGCAUUGGAUACUGGCAGACUUGAGUACGGGAGAGGGUAGUGGAAUUCCCAGUGUAGGAGUGAAAUCCGUAGAUAUUGGGA
Molecule: ribosomal RNA, 708 nt
Filed under: uncultured bacterium
Lineage: Bacteria
Description: bacterial SSU rRNA
Rfam family: Bacterial small subunit ribosomal RNA
Source: RNAcentral